GUAGACAUAGUUUAAUAAAAACACUAGAUUGUGAUUCUAGAAAUAGGGGUUGAACCCCUCUUGUCCACC
Molecule: transfer RNA, 69 nt
Filed under: Pseudogobius sp. 3 'dwarf'
Lineage: Eukaryota; Metazoa; Chordata; Actinopteri; Gobiiformes; Gobiidae
Description: tRNA-His
Rfam family: tRNA
About the family: Transfer RNA (tRNA) molecules are approximately 80 nucleotides in length. Their secondary structure includes four short double-helical elements and three loops (D, anti-codon, and T loops). Further hydrogen bonds mediate the characteristic L-shaped molecular structure. tRNAs have two regions of fundamental functional importance: the anti-codon, which is responsible for specific mRNA codon recognition, and the 3' end, to which the tRNAs corresponding amino acid is attached (by aminoacyl-tRNA synthetases). tRNAs cope with the degeneracy of the genetic code in two manners: having more than one tRNA (with a specific anti-codon) for a particular amino acid; and 'wobble' base-pairing, i.e. permitting non-standard base-pairing at the 3rd anti-codon position.
Source: RNAcentral